GAGGGGCGGCUUGCAGGCUGAGCACCGCCCCCCCCGGCCCGGGCCAAGUGCGUCCCCGGUUCGCGAGCAGCUCUGACCCUCUCCAGGCCAGCUUGGACCGCAGGGCUGCCCGGCACUGGCUGGAGAUUGUGGCGCCCAGGGCAGGCCCUGACACUGGCCUGGAGAUGCGAGGGAGAAAGCCGGGGAGAAGGGGGCGAGGUAGUCCCGCUCCAGGGCCGGUUCAUUUAUUUGGCAGGGCUCCCCCCAGGUCUCCCAGAUUCCCCAGAGGACCUGCUCUCGGCCUGCACGCCUUCAAGCAUCCGUGUGAGUUGUGCGUGAAUAAAAGAAAUCGUGUAAUUUCUGACUCCAUAGUAUGGACAAACCGAGGCUAGAGAACUGGGCCAGGGCUACACAGUCAUUUGGCCAGAGGAUUAGAAUUCAGCGCUUCUGACCUGAAGACGGCUUCCUCUUAACCUUUUUGGAGGAUCUCUUCUGCUGUGGGCGGACUGAGCCUACCGCCAGGUGUCUUAACACAGUGCUUGACUUGGCCAGCGACCACUUAAGCCUAGGCUAUUUUUAGCCAUCUUCUAGAACGGUGGUUCUUAAACUCUGCUGUGUGUCAGAAUCACCGGAAAGCUAAUAAAAAACAGGCCUGGGCUCAUUGAAGAAGCAUAAGACCAGGGUUUCCGCAUUUUUACCAAGUGAAUCUAAUUAAACCUAAGUUUGAGAACCC
Rhinopithecus roxellana (golden snub-nosed monkey) is the source of this 712-nucleotide long non-coding RNA. RefSeq lists it as uncharacterized. The transcript is spliced from 2 exons. Lineage: Eukaryota; Metazoa; Chordata; Mammalia; Primates; Cercopithecidae. The record is from RefSeq and is a predicted model, not a curated record.